AUUGAACGCUGGCGGCAGGCCUAACACAUGCAAGUCGAGCGGCAGCGGGAAAGUAGCUUGCUACUUUUGCCGGCGAGCGGCGGACGGGUGAGUAAUGCCUGGGAAAUUGCCCAGUCGAGGGGGAUAACAGUUGGAAACGACUGCUAAUACCGCAUACGCCCUACGGGGGAAAGCAGGGGACCUUCGGGCCUUGCGCGAUUGGAUAUGCCCAGGUGGGAUUAGCUUGUUGGUGAGGUAAUGGCUCACCAAGGCGACGAUCCCUAGCUGGUCUGAGAGGAUGAUCAGCCACACUGGAACUGAGACACGGUCCAGACUCCUACGGGAGGCAGCAGUGGGGAAUAUUGCACAAUGGGGGAAACCCUGAUGCAGCCAUGCCGCGUGUGUGAAGAAGGCCUUCGGGUUGUAAAGCACUUUCAGCGAGGAGGAAAGGUUGAUGCCUAAUACGUAUCAACUGUGACGUUACUCGCAGAAGAAGCACCGGCUAACUCCGUGCCAGCAGCCGCGGUAA
RNAcentral lists this ribosomal RNA (508 nucleotides) under uncultured bacterium. RNAcentral describes it as "partial 16S ribosomal RNA". It matches the Rfam family "Bacterial small subunit ribosomal RNA", at positions 30 to 523 of the family's 1533-position model. The record is from RNAcentral.